GGGGGUCGAGAGAUAGUGAGUGUGAAAAUCACACUGAAUCAUUCAAUUCGAAAGGGGUUUACAGAGUUCCAACAAAGCCAAUAGCAAUGCCAAUUUACAGAGCUCAGCAAGCGGGGAGCAAGUCUCGUAACUGCGGGAUUACAAGAAAUCUUUGAACUGUAGCUUCUUUUCCAAGCAGGCUUUCUUGCCUCUCACUUCGUUCGAGCAACCAAGCCUUCUAGCGCCUUUCUUUCCCAUAAAAGCCCUACUUUUUCCUUUUUUAAAGUAGCUUCUGUCAAUUAUACAUAUCGAUAUGAGGUCAAGGUGCGAAGCGGUGAGUGGUCCAUUCCGUCAUCAGCUCUUAGGAGAUGCAGUAAAUGAUAUGAAGCUAGGGGCUGGUUUGACCAAUAGUGAUAGCUAGUCAGAUAUGAAAGGGUGGAAAGGGGUGGGAGAACAAAGCGGAUCGGUUAGUGCAACUCUAUCUGUCUUUCUUAUCUUUGGCUAAGAUUAUAGAACUUGCCAAGAGAGUAGAUAAGAAGACGUUUGCCUCGAUUGUUGAGCCUGUUAAGGCGAAGUAGUUGAUGAUAUCAAAUGGGUGAUAUCUGGACGACUCCCGUUGUACAUGCCCUGGCUGCCUAUGUUACCUCUUCACCAAGGGUUAACGUGGGACCCAACUUGGCCUAAGCACCGCCUCACAUGGCAUGGCAUGGUCAGUGUGGGGUGGGUGAACCGUCUAAAACGUAAGUGGAAAGAGAUGUUGGGACUUCGGUCUUACCUACGAAGACGCGGCUUUUCAUUUCCUCAUGACCUUUACUCACUGUAAGGGUGAGCAGUGGUCGCAAGGCUUUCUCUGGGCCCCUCGGG
Molecule: long non-coding RNA, 843 nt
Filed under: Coffea arabica (coffee)
Lineage: Eukaryota; Viridiplantae; Streptophyta; Magnoliopsida; Gentianales; Rubiaceae
Description: long non-coding RNA (CARA_LNC008344)
Source: RNAcentral